AGUUAAAUUUUUUUUCAAAUUGUACUGUUAAAACUAACAUAAUUGACGAAAUAAUCAAACAACGACAUAUGACGUGCCACGUGUACCUCAUGCAGAUGUGCAAAUAACAAUUAUUAACAGUAAAAAUGGAAUGAAUUUUUAAUA
This 144-nucleotide microRNA precursor is filed under the name Gossypium hirsutum (cotton). RNAcentral describes it as "MIR7502 microRNA precursor family". It matches the Rfam family "MIR7502 microRNA precursor family". The record is from Rfam by way of RNAcentral. Lineage: Eukaryota; Viridiplantae; Streptophyta; Magnoliopsida; Malvales; Malvaceae.